AGCAGCCGCGGUAAUUCCAGCUCCAAUAGCGUAUAUUAAAGUUGUUGCAGUUAAAAAGCUCGUAGUUGAAUUUCGGGGUCAGUAGGUUGGUCGUGCCACUAGUAUGUACUGGUCUCACUGAUUCCUCCUUCCUGAUGAACCGUAAUGCCAUUAAUUUGGUGUUGCGGGGAAUCUGGACUGUUACUUUGAAAAAAUUAGAGUGUUUAAAGCAGGCUAACGCUUGAAUACAUUAGCAUGGAAUAAUGAAAUAGGACGAUCGAUCCUAUUUUGUUGGUUUCUAGGAUUGACGUAAUGAUUAAUAGGGAUAGUUGGGGGCAUUAGUAUUCAAUUGUCAGAGGUGAAAUUCUUGGAUUUAUUGAAGACUAACUACUGCGAAAGCAUUUGCCAAGGAUGUUUUCAUUAAUCAAGAACGAAAGUUAGGGGAUCGAAGGCGAUCAGAUACCGUCGUAGUCUUAACCAUAAACUAUGCCGACUAGGGAUCGGAUGAUGUUAAUUUUUUAAUGACUCAUUCGGCGUCCG
Molecule: ribosomal RNA, 519 nt
Filed under: uncultured Glomus
Lineage: Eukaryota; Fungi; Glomeromycota; Glomeromycetes; Glomerales; Glomeraceae
Description: SSU rRNA
Rfam family: Eukaryotic small subunit ribosomal RNA
Source: RNAcentral